This 554-nucleotide ribosomal RNA is filed under the name uncultured bacterium. Its description in RNAcentral is "partial 16S ribosomal RNA". It matches the Rfam family "Bacterial small subunit ribosomal RNA", at positions 355 to 900 of the family's 1533-position model. The record is from RNAcentral.
UAGGGAAUCUUCCACAAUGGACGCAAGUCUGAUGGAGCAACGCCGCGUGAGUGAAGAAGGUUUUCGGACCGUAAAGCUCUGUUGUUGGUGAAGAAGGAUAGAGGUAGUAACUGGCCUUUAUUUGACGGUAAUCAACCAGAAAGUCACGGCUAACUACGUGCCAGCAGCCGCGGUAAUACGUAGGUGGCAAGCGUUGUCCGGAUUUAUUGGGCGUAAAGCGAGCGCAGGCGGAAGAAUAAGUCUGAUGUGAAAGCCCUCGGCUUAACCGAGGAAUUGCAUCGGAAACUGUUUUCUUGAGUGCAGAAGAGGAGAGUAGAACUCCAUGUGUAGCGGUGGAAUGCGUAGAUAUAUGGAAGAAUACCAGUGGCGAAGGCGGCUCUCUGGUCUGCAACUGACGCUGAGGCUCGAAAGCAUGGGUAGCGAACAGGAUUAGAUACCCUGGUAGUCCAUGCCGUAAACGAUGAGUGCUAAGUGUUGGGAGGCCUCCGCCUCUCAGUGCUGCAGCUAACGCAUUAAGCACUCCGCCUGGGGGAGUACGACCGCAAGGUUGAAAC